This 440-nucleotide ribosomal RNA is filed under the name uncultured bacterium. RNAcentral describes it as "partial 16S ribosomal RNA". It matches the Rfam family "Bacterial small subunit ribosomal RNA", at positions 338 to 795 of the family's 1533-position model. The record is from RNAcentral.
CCUACGGGAGGCAGUAGUGAGGAAUAUUGGUCAAUGGCCGGAAGGCUGAACCAGCCAUGCCGCGUGAGUGAAGAAGGUCUUCGGAUUGUAAAGCUCUUUCGGUCGUGAAGAAGAUGACGGUAGCGUCUCCAGAAGCACCGGCCAACUUCGUGCCAGCAGCCGCGGUAAUACGAAGGGUGCGAGCGUUGUUCGGAAUUACUGGGCGUAAAGGGAGUGUAGGCGGAUAGGUAAGAUAGCGGUGAAAGGCCGGGGCUCAACCCCGGAACUGCCAUUAUGACUGUGUAUCUAGAGUAAUGGUGAGGAUAGCGGAAUACGCGGUGUAGAGGUGAAAUGCGUAGAUAUUGGGAAGAACACCGGUGGCGAAGGCGGCUAUCUGGCCAUUUACUGACGCUGAGGCUCGAAAGCAUGGGGAUCAAACAGGAUUAGAUACCCCGGUAGUC